Molecule: transfer RNA, 73 nt
Filed under: Mus musculus (house mouse)
Lineage: Eukaryota; Metazoa; Chordata; Mammalia; Rodentia; Muridae
Rfam family: tRNA
About the family: Transfer RNA (tRNA) molecules are approximately 80 nucleotides in length. Their secondary structure includes four short double-helical elements and three loops (D, anti-codon, and T loops). Further hydrogen bonds mediate the characteristic L-shaped molecular structure. tRNAs have two regions of fundamental functional importance: the anti-codon, which is responsible for specific mRNA codon recognition, and the 3' end, to which the tRNAs corresponding amino acid is attached (by aminoacyl-tRNA synthetases). tRNAs cope with the degeneracy of the genetic code in two manners: having more than one tRNA (with a specific anti-codon) for a particular amino acid; and 'wobble' base-pairing, i.e. permitting non-standard base-pairing at the 3rd anti-codon position.
Source: Rfam by way of RNAcentral
AGGAGUAUAGUUCAGUUGGUAGAAUGUUUGUUUCACAUGCACAGAGUCCUGGGUUCGAUCCCCAGCAUCCCUA